RNAcentral lists this ribosomal RNA (115 nucleotides) under Escherichia coli. RNAcentral's name for it is "partial 23S ribosomal RNA". The stretch from base 1 to 97 matches the Rfam family "Bacterial large subunit ribosomal RNA", at positions 2828 to 2925 of the family's 2925-position model. The record is from RNAcentral. RNAcentral also lists the same sequence under 1 other name. Lineage: Bacteria; Pseudomonadati; Pseudomonadota; Gammaproteobacteria; Enterobacterales; Enterobacteriaceae.
GAAGGAACGUUGAAGACGACGACGUUGAUAGGCCGGGUGUGUAAGCGCAGCGAUGCGUUGAGCUAACCGGUACUAAUGAACCGUGAGGCUUAACCUUACAACGCCGAAGGUGUUU